Molecule: ribosomal RNA, 523 nt
Filed under: Geastrum cf. calceum MA-Fungi 83761
Lineage: Eukaryota; Fungi; Basidiomycota; Agaricomycetes; Geastrales; Geastraceae
Description: eukaryotic LSU rRNA
Rfam family: 5.8S ribosomal RNA (bases 118-272)
Source: RNAcentral
UUUCAUCCACACACACCUUUGUGCACCAUGGGAGGCGUCAGUGUCUCCCCUCUUUUAAUACAAACACAAGUUAUAUGCAUGUCUUAUAUGUCAACUCUACGGCAGUUAUACUAUAACAACUUUCAACAACGGAUCUCUUGGCUUUCGCAUCGAUGAAGAACGCAGCGAACGUGCGAAACGUAAUGUGAAUUGCAGAAUUCAGUGAAUCAUCGAAUCUUUGAACGCAUCUUGCGCUCCUUGGUAUUCCGAGGAGCAUGCCUGUUUGAGUGUCGUGAAUACUCUCAAUUACAAACUUUUUUGUUUGAAAUUGGAUUUGGACGUUGUUGUGGGCUUACACGACUCGUCCUAAAUACAUUAGCGAUCUGCCUUGAUCACACACAAUGUGAUAAAUAUUGAGCAUUGUUAUUAAUCAAGUCAUGACUGCUUCUAAUCGUCGGAAACGACAAAGCGUAUAGUCAUAUAUAUGCAUGUCAUUUGACCUCAAAUCAGGUAGGACUACCCGCUGAACUUAAGCAUAUCAAUA